Molecule: long non-coding RNA, 628 nt
Organism: Salmo salar (Atlantic salmon)
Lineage: Eukaryota; Metazoa; Chordata; Actinopteri; Salmoniformes; Salmonidae
Source: RefSeq, a predicted model, not a curated record
GGUAUAUAUAUGGAUGAAGCCACAGGGUCAAUAUCAUUUAGGAAAAUGGCUGGUGUUGUCAGGGACAUGUAUGCAGGAGAAAAUCUGACUGAACUGACGAUAAGACAGAGAGAAACACACAGAAGAAAUAUGUUAAGAGAGAAUGUUAAUGUUCUCUUCAGAAUAUAUAGAACAGUCAGGACCGUACGGAACUUGCAUGUACUGUUAUGCAGACCGAGCCACGAACCUGAAACGAUGACUACAAUUCUCCGGACGCACAUCAAUGACACUAAGUUACAGGUGUCUCUACAGCUGACAUCCAGAAUGGAAACAAGAAUUACGAGAGUGGAGACAAUAUCAAUUAGUGGGAAUACAGAUCAGUUGGAAACCUUAUGUAACUCUUUCGCUGACCUGUUCCCACAUGCUUUCGGAGUUGAGGAAUAGGAGGCUGAAAAUCAAGACAUCAAAGAAGAAGAAUAAGAAGAAGAUGAUGUCAUAACACAACACGGAUUCUCCUCUCAUCUGAUUUGAAAAAUAAUUCUACUCACUUUUUCUGUGUCAAAGCCAUCUGCCUGUCUUAGAAAAACAAUCCACUGUUUGCACCACUGUUUCUAAUGAGCAUGUCAUAAUAAAUCAUAUUUGAUUGAGA